This 468-nucleotide ribosomal RNA is filed under the name uncultured bacterium. Its description in RNAcentral is "partial 16S ribosomal RNA". It matches the Rfam family "Bacterial small subunit ribosomal RNA", at positions 28 to 507 of the family's 1533-position model. The record is from RNAcentral.
GACGAACGCUGGCGGCGUGCUUAACGCAUGCAAGUCGAACGGAAAGGCCCUGCUUUUGUGGGGUGCUCGAGUGGCGAACGGGUGAGUAACACGUGAGUAACCUGCCCUUGACUUUGGGAUAACUUCAGGAAACUGGGGCUAAUACCGGAUAGGAGCUCCUGCUGCAUGGUGGGGGUUGGAAAGUUUCGGCGGUUGGGGAUGGACUCGCGGCUUAUCAGCUUGUUGGUGGGGUAGUGGCUUACCAAGGCUUUGACGGGUAGCCGGCCUGAGAGGGUGACUGGCCACAUUGGGACUGAGAUACGGCCCAGACUCCUACGGGAGGCAGCAGUGGGGAAUAUUGCACAAUGGGCGGAAGCCUGAUGCAGCAACGCCGCGUGCGGGAUGACGGCCUUCGGGUUGUAAACCGCUUUCGCCUGUGACGAAGCGUGAGUGACGGUAAUGGGUAAAGAAGCACCGGCUAACUACGUG